AGAUUGAACGCUGGCGGCAUGCCUUACACAUGCAAGUCGAACGGCAGCACGGGGGCAACCCUGGUGGCGAGUGGCGAACGGGUGAGUAAUGCAUCGGAACGUGCCCAGUAGUGGGGGAUAACUAGUCGAAAGAUUAGCUAAUACCGCAUACGACCUUUGGGUGAAAGCGGGGGAUUCGCAAGAACCUCGCGCUAUCGGAGCGGCCGAUGUCUGAUUAGCUAGUUGGCGGGGUAAAGGCCCACCAAGGCUUCGAUCAGUAGCUGGUCUGAGAGGACGACCAGCCACACUGGGACUGAGACACGGCCCAGACUCCUACGGGAGGCAGCAGUGGGGAAUUUUGGACAAGUGGGCGCAAGCCUGACUCCAGCCAUGCCGCGUGCGGGAAGAAGGCCGUUCGGGUUACGUAACCGCUUUUGGCGAGGAACGAAACGGCGCGAGCGAAUAUC
This 446-nucleotide ribosomal RNA is filed under the name uncultured soil bacterium. Its description in RNAcentral is "bacterial SSU rRNA". It matches the Rfam family "Bacterial small subunit ribosomal RNA", at positions 26 to 465 of the family's 1533-position model. The record is from RNAcentral.